RNAcentral lists this long non-coding RNA (824 nucleotides) under Salmo salar (Atlantic salmon). RNAcentral describes it as "lncRNA (ENSSSAG00000087946.1, ENSSSAG00020066325.1)". The record is from RNAcentral. Lineage: Eukaryota; Metazoa; Chordata; Actinopteri; Salmoniformes; Salmonidae.
CCUCAACAUCAACUCCUGCCCACGGUUCCUGCCAACUACUCAAAUAUUGACACCAUCGUCACUCACAUAGGUUUUAAUGACCUUCGUUUUAGGCGAUCUGAGGAACUGAGGGAGGACUACAAACAUGUUUUACACCCUCGCUAGCACAGGGAAGAUAAUAAUAAUCUCUGACCCCCUCCCAUGUUACCGAAGGGGUUUGGAAUGUUUCAGCCGACUCUUUGCCCUGAACGAGUACCUGAAGAAACUUUGCAACUGACGGACAGAGUCGGUAGUGCUCCAGUUCUCCCUGUCAGAAUAAGCAACAGAGGACUUGGAAACCAUAUCAACUCCUGUAGAAAUGGCACUGUAUUUCCAUUGUGGAAAGAGCCCUCGUGAUUGGUGCCUACUCUGGGAGAGAGAUGGAUUUUUGAGAGGAGGAGGAGGAGUGGAGAUGGAGUCAUUCAAAGGUGGCGGUGCCUGGGGAGCAGGAGAGAUGGGGAGAUGUUAGGGACUCCAUAAAAUCUCAUUAUUGACAGGGAGUUACAUUGGGAGCGCUACAGGAGGACUGGCAGACAUGACAACAGUGACAAGGUUUAAUGUGUUGCAUAGGGUAUUGGGGAAAACAGCAAAUGUCAUCCCAUGUGAAUUUGAUAACCCUCUACACACCAUGUUCACCACUUUCACAAUCAGUUAUUAGUUGCAGUGAGCUGCAGCUGGGGUUUUAAUCCUUAGACUAUAACACCUGGCCUCAUGGUAUUCUGUCACUGCAUGAAUUAUCUGAUGUAGUAGUGAUGUGCAAUGUUUAAUGGGCAAUGUUUAUCCAAUGUUCAGACAAUUUUCAAUAC